GCCUCGUCUCGAUUAACACAGGAAGGAUGAUAUGCCUUAGGGCACCCCCUGCGGUCACAGAGGACAAGGUCACCUCCAUCGAAGCAAAUGAAACAAACAUCCUCCUCCACCUUCUGCCUGGUUGAAACUCUAGAGGGGGCCUUGGCAUUCUUUCCCCGCUUCCUCUUCCCACCAGCAUUUCUGCUCAGUUCCUCCACUUCAUCUCCUGCCCCCUCCGCCUCAGUUCCAUCUGCCAGUUCCAUCUCCUCUGCAUU
Molecule: unclassified non-coding RNA, 254 nt
Filed under: Hevea brasiliensis (rubber tree)
Lineage: Eukaryota; Viridiplantae; Streptophyta; Magnoliopsida; Malpighiales; Euphorbiaceae
Source: RNAcentral